UGUGGCUCUGCUCUCUGCAAGCACAGUAGAUAAAACAUCAACUAAUGCAGACAAAGAAACAUGGGAGGAAAAGGCAGAUGGCGUAUCUGAUACAAAAGAUAAGUUGCAUAGUUGCAUUCCAAGUGAAGAUAAUGGUUAUGUUUCUAGGUUAGAAGGUGGGACUGAACCGGUAGAAGGAUCAUUGCCUUGCCCGUCAAUGGAGAUAGACGGUGACAACAUGAAAAAUAUGAACGAAGAGUUGAACAGUACCGUGCAAGAAGAGCAAAAACCUCCUGCUACCAUUUGCUCCGAGUUUGCAAAAAGAAGGGUUGGGGAUGUGCUGCAUCCUACUGGUUCUGGUAAAGAUAUUGUCUCUGAAAAUGUUGUUGGGGAGGUGAAGGCUGAAAAGGCUGAUGAAACAGAUGACGCAAGUCAGCAUACCGAAAAAGGAAAUAAUGCGCAGGAAAAUAAUUUUGGUUUAGCUGUUACUGAUCACAAGGUUGAGACUAUGGAGGAGAGUCUAGAAGGUAAUCAACCUAAAGAACAACUUAGUGGUGCUCAAGCUCUCAACAAGGCAUCACCUGCAAUUGUGCAAGAACCAGAACAAGAAGCAAGGUGUAGAGGAUCAAAGUUGAAUGCCACUGAUGCCGAUGAAGCGGAGGAAAGUACAUCUGGUGCUGUAGAUGCUGCUUCAUUUUCUGCUGUAGGGGGGGGCAGAUAUUGAAGCGAAAGUGGAAUUUGAUCUAAAUGAAGGCUUCAAUACUGAUGAUGAGAGAUAUGGGGAACCGAAUAACUUGAGAACACCUGAAUGUUCUACUGCUAUUCAAUUGAUUAGCCCUUUUCCUUUACCUGUUUCUUCUGGUUCUAGUGGCUUACCUGCUUUAAUUACAGUGGCUUUCUCCCCAAAAAAACCCGUUGUUCCCCCCGGGGGGCUAUUGUAG
RNAcentral lists this unclassified non-coding RNA (920 nucleotides) under Hevea brasiliensis (rubber tree). Lineage: Eukaryota; Viridiplantae; Streptophyta; Magnoliopsida; Malpighiales; Euphorbiaceae. The record is from RNAcentral.